RNAcentral lists this long non-coding RNA (910 nucleotides) under Olea europaea subsp. europaea. The record is from RNAcentral. Lineage: Eukaryota; Viridiplantae; Streptophyta; Magnoliopsida; Lamiales; Oleaceae.
GGUCCCUCUCCUUCCUGACAAGAAAUUUCAAACCAUAAACUGAAGCAAAUCUUUUGCGCUGAAAAUAAAUUUGAAAUAUUUCCUUCAUUAUAUAUAAGUCGUUUGCUGUAUUCGGAAAAUUUCUCAAGCAUUGCUCAUAAAAAAUAUUUCAGUCGUUAAGAACAUGAUAAUCAGGAACAUGUAUCAGCGAAAGAGGAUAUGAAUUCGGCUUCUAACAAAGCUGAGCCGUAGAAAAAAAAUCGAAACAUAACCCAAUUCUAUCAAUCAGUUCUUCACAAAAUGUCUAUUCAUAGAGCCUGUUUGAGCCCCAUUUUUAGAGGAGAAUGUAUUUGGAAUAGUAGAUUGAUAGAGAAUGUAUGAUCAAAUGUAAGAAUUUUGUCAGUACGCCAGUGCCAAGUUACUGUUUAAGAUGACACCUUUUGUCUUCGUUCAUAUACUCUCACAGUGUCACACGCCAUUCCCCAUUCAUUUUGUCCUGGUUCAUAGCCCUCCAAUUGCACCGCCGAUGAGCGCAGAGUUUUAAUUCAAGAAAGAGAAGUCAUAAAUCCCUGCUUCUUCUUCCCGAGCAAAAAAGCUUCUUUAUCCUUCGUCGAUGGUGGUUCACCUCUUCCUCUAAAUCAAAACCUAACCCUAAAAUCCAGAAUUCCCAAACCCCCCUGCCAUUUGCAAUAAUCCCUCAUGUUGAAAAUCCUCACCACCACAUGCCGCUACGUCGUCGUUUGGGGCACAACUCCGGCCUGGACACACUGUCGAGAUUGCCUCUCCAAAUCUUCGGAUCCUGAACUCCCUCCUAGGAAUUAAUACAAAAAGCCCUUAUUUUUUAUAGCCGGUUCUUUUGCUCCGACUCCUCUGACGGGUCUAACCCUGCGGAAACUGGGUCUAUUAGACUAUUUAGCUUAGCUGGCAAUAG